UAAGUGCUUUAUUAGACUUCUAAUCUAAACCAAGCUUUUGCUACACUUUU
Molecule: transfer RNA, 50 nt
Filed under: Stygobromus tenuis potomacus
Lineage: Eukaryota; Metazoa; Arthropoda; Malacostraca; Amphipoda; Crangonyctidae
Description: tRNA-Ser
Source: RNAcentral